Molecule: ribosomal RNA, 590 nt
Filed under: uncultured Burkholderia sp.
Lineage: Bacteria; Pseudomonadati; Pseudomonadota; Betaproteobacteria; Burkholderiales; Burkholderiaceae
Description: bacterial SSU rRNA
Rfam family: Bacterial small subunit ribosomal RNA
Source: RNAcentral
UCGGGUUGUAAAGCACUUUUGUCCGGCAAGAAAACUUCUGCCCUAAUACGGUGGGAGGAUGACGGUACCGGAAGAAUAAGCACCGGCUAACUACGUGCCAGCAGCGCGGUAAUCGUAGGGUGCGAGCGUUAAUCGGAAUUACUGGGCGUAAAGCGUGCGCAGGCGGUUCGUUAAGACAGAUGUGAAAUCCCCGGGCUUAACCUGGGAACUGCAUUUGUGACUGGCGAGCUAGAGUAUGGCAGAGGGGGGUAGAAUUCCACGUGUAGCAGUGAAAUGCGUAGAGAUGUGGAGGAAUACCGAUGGCGAAGGCAGCCCCCUGGGCCAAUACUGACGCUCAUGCACGAAAGCGUGGGGAGCAAACAGGAUUAGAUACCCUGGUAGUCCACGCCCUAAACGAUGUCAACUAGUUGUUGGGUCUUCAUUGACUUAGUAACGUAGCUAACGCGUGAAGUUGACCGCCUGGGGAGUACGGUCGCAAGAUUAAAACUCAAAGGAAUUGACGGGGACCCGCACAAGCGGUGGAUGAUGUGGAUUGAUUCGAUGCAACGCGAAAAACCUUACCUACCCUUGACAUGGUCGGAACCCUGCUG